Molecule: ribosomal RNA, 203 nt
Filed under: uncultured bacterium
Lineage: Bacteria
Description: partial 16S ribosomal RNA
Rfam family: Bacterial small subunit ribosomal RNA
Source: RNAcentral
UUGCAGGCUGCAACCCGCCUGCAUGAAGUUGGAAUCGCUAGUAAUCGCGGAUCAGCAUGCCGCGGUGAAUACGUUCCCGGGCCUUGUACACACCGCCCGUCACACCAUGAGAGUCGGGAACACCCGAAGUCCGUAGCCUGACCGCAAGGGGGGCGCGGCCGAAGGUGGGUUCGAUAAUUGGGGUGAAGUCGUAACAAGGUAAC